Long non-coding RNA from Bos taurus (domestic cattle), 535 nucleotides. The record is from Ensembl. NCBI's taxonomy places the organism in Eukaryota, Metazoa, Chordata, Mammalia, Artiodactyla, Bovidae.
GGUGUAGCAUUUUGCUUAUACUGUGAGAAUGGCUGUGUUGUAUUUGGCUAAUUCCCCCUGAAUUUGGGGAAAGAGAUUUGAAUGAAGGAAACUUCGGUGAGAGGUAUGGCUUGCCAAAGAGACAAUUCUUACCUUUUUUUCCCCAGUUGUUUGUUAGUUCAGUUACACAUUGUACAGGAGGCAGUGAUUCAAGACCAUCCCCAAGAAAAAGAAAUGCAAAAAGACAAAAUGGUUGUCUGAGGAGGCCUUACAAAUAGCUGUGAAAAGAAGAGAAGCGAGAGGCAAAGGAGAAAAGGAAAGAUAUAAGCAUCUGAAUGAAGAGUUCCAAAGAAUAGCAAGGAGAGAUAAGAAAGCCUUCCUCAGUGAUCAAUGCAAAGAAAUAGAGGAAAACAAUAGAGUGGGAAAGACUAGAGGUCUCUUCAAGAAAAUUAGAGAUACCAAGGGAAAUUUCAUGCAAAGAUGGGCACAAUAAAGGACAGAAAUGGCAUGGACCUAACAGAAGCAGAAGAUAUUAAGAAGAGAUGAUUAGAAUACA